Molecule: small RNA, 27 nt
Filed under: Bombyx mori (domestic silkworm)
Lineage: Eukaryota; Metazoa; Arthropoda; Insecta; Lepidoptera; Bombycidae
Description: ovarian small RNA-13442
Source: RNAcentral
CAUUGAGAUGAGUUUUAUAUACGUGGA